GUGGGUGGCGGAGCCCUGGCACAGCUGCCCAGAGAACCACAACCUGGGAAUUGAAGUUGGGCUGCGCUCGAUUUAAAGAUAUGCUGGCACAAAGUCCACUGCUACAAAGCCAUACUGAGAUGUUCACAACUGUUGCAGAAUGCUGUGGGCUUCUCUUGUUCUCUUGCAGUCAGCACCGUGUCACUGGCAGUUGUUUAUGAGUUCUGUCCUUCUGCAGGUGCUGCAGGGAGCUCAGGCCAACCAACUGCGCUGGAGUCACCACUGCAUGCAGGUGUUGAGGUGCUGGCUCUGUGCUCCCCAGGGUACGGGGCCAUGUGCUGCUGAGAACAGAGGCCUCCUGCCUUCCUUCUGCCUGCUCCCCUUGGAGAUCUGCAGCUGGUGUUUCAGUCACAGUGAUGUGAACACAGAGCAGUGGUAAACCCGACAUCGCUGUGACGCAGCAUGUGGUACAUAAAGGCUUUGACUUGUAAUGGAAAGUGUUGUUGCAGUUUAAAGAUGUCAGUGGCGGUUCCAGGGGGCCUGAAGUGCAGUGUGUGCACCUGUGCUACUGUGUGCAUGGAGCUUGCAUGUAGAAGGAGCAGUGCGUGCCAUUGUGCCUGCCGAGCUCCCACAGGCAGCGGCUGCAGUGUUGGACUCACAGCCAUGGGAUAAUAUGGGUCUGCUUGCAAACAGCUGCGGCUGCUGGAAGCCAAAGCACCCUGCUUGGUUCUUGCCUGGGCCAGAACAGGCUGUGGGAACUCAGGAUGAAUGUGAGUGCAGGAGUGCCAUGUGGGCAGUCCAUAAGGAAAUUAAAGGGGGGAAAAAUACAAAACACACAAAUAACCAAACGCCAAACCAUCCCCCAUCAGUAGGCUGCAGUGUUAUCCUCC
This 869-nucleotide long non-coding RNA is filed under the name Gallus gallus (chicken). Its description in RNAcentral is "lncRNA (ENSGALG00010011176.1)". Lineage: Eukaryota; Metazoa; Chordata; Aves; Galliformes; Phasianidae. The record is from RNAcentral.